Molecule: unclassified non-coding RNA, 343 nt
Filed under: soil metagenome
Description: partial contains 5.8S ribosomal RNA, internal transcribed spacer 2, and large subunit ribosomal RNA
Rfam family: 5.8S ribosomal RNA (bases 1-120)
Source: RNAcentral
GAUGAAGAACGCAGCGAAAUGCGAUAAGUAAUGUGAAUUGCAGAAUUCAGUGAAUCAUCGAAUCUUUGAACGCACAUUGCGCCCGCCAGUAUUCUGGCGGGCAUGCCUGUUCGAGCGUCAUUUCCACCAUCAGGCCCCCGGGCCUGUGUUGGGGACCUGCGGCUGCCCGCAGGCCCCGAAAUUCAGUGGCGGUCGCGCCGUAGCAACCGAGCGUAGUAACUAAAACGUCUCGCUCUGGCUCGCUGGGCGCGCUCCGGCCGUAAAACACCCCCCCUUUUCGCAAAGGUUGACCUCGGAUCAGGUAGGAAUACCCGCUGAACUUAAGCAUAUCAAUAACGGAGGA